GAUGAAGAACGUAGCGAAAUGCGAUAAGUAGUGUGAAUUGCAGAAUUCAGUGAAUCAUCGAAUCUUUGAACGCACAUUGCGCCCUUUGGUAUUCCAAAGGGCAUGCCUGUUCGAGCGUCAUUUGUACCCUCAAGCUUUGCUUGGUGUUGGGCGUCUUGUCUCUAGCUUUGCUGGAGACUCGCCUUAAAGUAAUUGGCAGCCGGCCUACUGGUUUCGGAGCGCAGCACAAGUCGCACUCUCUAUCAGCAAAGGUCUAGCAUCCAUUAAGCCUUUUUUUCAACUUUUUACCUCGGAUCAGGUAGGGAUACCCGCUGAACUUAAGCAUAUCAAUAAGCGGAGGA
This 341-nucleotide unclassified non-coding RNA is filed under the name soil metagenome. RNAcentral describes it as "partial contains 5.8S ribosomal RNA, internal transcribed spacer 2, and large subunit ribosomal RNA". The stretch from base 1 to 120 matches the Rfam family "5.8S ribosomal RNA", at positions 35 to 154 of the family's 154-position model. The record is from RNAcentral.